UCCGGUUUGGCACCGGCAGUCCCCCCAGAGUCCCCGACAUGACUCGCUGGCAACUGGGGGCGGGGGUUGCGCUCGUUGCGGGACUUAACCCAACAUCUCACGACACGAGCUGACGACAGCCAUGCAGCACCUGUGCAGGAACUCCGAAGAGGGCCCCUGGUUUCUCAGGGGUUUCUCCUGCAUGUCAAGCCUAGGUAAGGUUCUUCGCGUUGCGUCGAAUUAAACCACAUGCUCCACCGCUUGUGCGGGCCCCCGUCAAUUCCUUUGAGUUUCAACCUUGCGGUCGUACUCCCCAGGCGGGGUACUUCCUGCGUUAGCGCCGGCACCCAGAGGGUCGCUCCCCCAGGCACCUAGUACCCAUCGUUUACGGCGUGGACUAC
RNAcentral lists this unclassified non-coding RNA (380 nucleotides) under uncultured Gemmatimonadaceae bacterium. RNAcentral's name for it is "contains 16S-23S intergenic spacer region". The record is from RNAcentral. Lineage: Bacteria; Pseudomonadati; Gemmatimonadota; Gemmatimonadia; Gemmatimonadales; Gemmatimonadaceae.